Molecule: long non-coding RNA, 509 nt
Organism: Suricata suricatta (meerkat)
Lineage: Eukaryota; Metazoa; Chordata; Mammalia; Carnivora; Herpestidae
Exons: 2
Source: RefSeq, a predicted model, not a curated record
ACGGCCUGCCUUCAACGGGGAAGGGCUGCACCAAGCGGCGGCUCAGGACGCAGACUGACAAGUCAGGCCAUGCCGUGUCCGAAUUCUGCCACUUACCAGCCGGAAUUCUGGAUGCUGUCACACUGAGCUGAGCCCUUCAAGCCCCUGCGGGGUGCUGGGCUGCUCUGGAGCUGGAAGUGUCAGAGACAUCCUUUCACACGGUCUGGAGUCCCGGGGCCGGGCAGUGCACUUCCCCUUGUGGGGACUCAGUUUUACCAUCUGGAAAUGAGUCUUCGCAGACUGUGGGGGUGCUGAUCCCGGAAGAGAGUCAAAGACUCUUCUAAAAAAAAAAAAAGUGUGAUCGCUGCUCAAAACUGAGGCAUUUAUCUCAAAACAUGUGAAAAAGGCUAGCUUGUAUAGCUGAGGGACUUAGGAAUCCAAAGCGGCUGGGAGGGACCCAUCCCUGGCCCUGCCUUCCGGUUGCUGUAUGACCUUGUCCCCGAGGCAUUUAACAUCUUGGCAUUCCUUGA